GUUGCUUGCAAAAUAGCCUUCAUAAUGAGGCUUUUGGGGUUUUUGUAGAAGUUCUUCGUGAGGGGUCCUUGGUUCCUGAUCAAGUGAGCAUUUCUAGUGUUUUAAGUGCUUGUGCUAAUAUGGGUGCUGGUUUGAAUGGUGGGAGACAAGUUCACGGAGUUGUUGUGAAACAUAGGUUGGUGUCUUUAGCCUAUGUGAGGAACUCUUUAAUGGACAUGUAUUUCAAGUGUGGGUGCUUUGAUGAUGGUUUUAAGUUGUGUGGCGCUUUAGAGGACAGAGAUGUUGUUACUUGGAAUAUAAUGAUCAUGGGGUGUGUUGAAAAUGACAACUUUGAGGAGGCUUGCAACCACUUUUGGGUGAUGAGGCGCGAAGGAGUUUCACCUGACGAGGCAUCAUUUUCCUCUGUACUUCAUGCUGCUGCUUGUAUUGCAGCACUGGAUCAGGGUACUUUGAUACAUAGUCAGAUGGUAAAGGCUGGCUUUGACAGAAAUACGUGUGUUGCGAGCUCAUUGAUAACUUUGUAUGCUAAAUGUGGAA
This 537-nucleotide long non-coding RNA is filed under the name Coffea arabica (coffee). RNAcentral's name for it is "long non-coding RNA (CARA_LNC001404)". Lineage: Eukaryota; Viridiplantae; Streptophyta; Magnoliopsida; Gentianales; Rubiaceae. The record is from RNAcentral.